RNAcentral lists this ribosomal RNA (751 nucleotides) under uncultured bacterium. RNAcentral describes it as "bacterial SSU rRNA". It matches the Rfam family "Bacterial small subunit ribosomal RNA", at positions 94 to 863 of the family's 1533-position model. The record is from RNAcentral.
AGUGGCGGACGGGUGAGUAACACGUUGGUGACCUGCCCCGAGGAGGGGGAUAACUGUGGGAAACCAUAGCUAAAACCCCAGAAGUUGAGAAGUUUAGACGCACUCAACUAAAGUUCCGGCGCCUCGGGGGGGGCCUGCGGGCUAUCAGCUAGUUGGUGGGGUAAAGGCCUACCAAGGCAAAGACGGCUAGGGGGCGUGAGAGCGCGACCCCCCACAAUGGGACUGAGACACGGCCCAUACUCCUACGGGAGGCAGCAGUGAGGAAUAUUGCACAAUGGGGGCAACCCUGAUGCAGCAACGCCGCGUGAACGAAGAAGGCCUUCGGGUUGUAAAGUUCUUUUCUGGGGGAAGAUAGUGACGGUACCUCAGGAAUAAGUCCCGGCUAACUACGUGCCAGCAGCCGCGGUAAAACGUAGGGGGCGAGCGUUAUCCGGAUUUACUGGGCGUAAAGCGCACGUAGGCGGUUUGACAAGUUGGAUGUGAAAGCUCCUGGCUUAACUGGGAGAGGUCGUCCAAAACUGUCAGACUUGAGGUAGGAAGAGGAGAGCGGAAUUCCCGGUGUAGUGGUGGAAUGCGUAGAUAUCGGGAGGAACACCAGUGGCGAAAGCGGCUCUCUGGUCCAGGCCUGACGCUGAGGUGCGAAAGCGUGGGGAGCGAACGGGAUUAGAUACCCCGGUAGUCCACGCUGUAAACGAUGGAUACUAGGUGUAGGAGGUUAUAUACCCCUUCUGUGCCGAAGCAAACGCGUUAA